GAUGAACGCUGGCGGUAUGCUUAACACAUGCAAGUCGAACGGUGUCUUCGGACACAGUGGCGGACGGGUGAGUAACGCGUGAGAAUCUAGCUUUAGGUCUGGGACAACCACUGGAAACGGUGGCUAAUACCGGAUGUGCCCUUCGGGGUGAAAGAUUAAUUGCCUGAAGAUGAGCUCGCGUCUGAUUAGCUAGUUGGAAGUGUAAUGGACUCCCAAGGCGACGAUCAGUAGCUGGUCUGAGAGGACGAUCAGCCACACUGGGACUGAGACACGGCCCAGACUCCUACCGGGAGGCAGCAGUGGGGAAUUUUCCGCAAUGGGCGAAAGCCUGACGGAGCAAUACCGCGUGAGGGAGGAAGGCUCUUGGGUCGUAAACCUCUUUUCUCAGGGAAGAACACAAUGACGGUACCUGAGGAAUAAGCAUCGGCUAACUCCGUGCCAGCAGCCGCGGUAAUACGGAGGAUGCAAGCGUUAUCCGGAAUGAUUGGGCGUAAAGCGUCCGCAGGUGGCAAUGUAAGUCUGCUGUUAAAGAGUCUAGCUCAACUAGAUAAGAGCAGUGGAAACUACAUAGCUAGAGUACGUUCGGGGCAGAGGGAAUUCCUGGUGUAGCGGUGAAAUGCGUAGAGAUCAGGAAGAACACCAGUGGCGAAGGCGCUCUGCUAGGCCGUAACUGACACUGAGGGACGAAAGCUAGGGGAGCGAAUGGGAUUAGAUACCCCAGUAGUCCUAGCCGUAAACGAUGGAUACUAGGCGUGGCUUGUAUCGACCCGAGCCGUGCCGUAGCUAACGCGUUAAGUAUCCCGCCUGGGGAGUACGCCGGCAACGGUGAAACUCAAAGGAAUUGACGGGGGCCCGCACAAGCGGUGGAGUAUGUGGUUUAAUUCGAUGCAACGCGAAGAACCUUACCAAGGCUUGACAUGUCGCGAAUCCUGGUGAAAGCCGGGAGUGCCUUCGGGAGCGCGAACACAGGUGGUGCAUGGCUGUCGUCAGCUCGUGUCGUGAGAUGUUGGGUUAAGUCCCGCAACGAGCGCAACCCUCGUUUUUAGUUGCCAGCAUUAAGUUGGGCACUCUAGAGAGACUGCCGGUGACAAACCGGAGGAAGGUGGGGAUGACGUCAAGUCAGCAUGCCCCUUACGCCUUGGGCUACACACGUACUACAAUGCUCCGGACAGAGGGCAGCAAGCAUGCGAAUGCAAGCAAAUCCCGUAAACCGGAGCUCAGUUCAGAUCGCAGGCUGCAACUCGCCUGCGUGAAGGAGGAAUCGCUAGUAAUUGCAGGUCAGCAUACUGCAGUGAAUUCGUUCCCGGGCCUUGUACACACCGCCCGUCACACCAUGGAAGCUGGUAGUGCCCGAAGUCAUUACUCCAACMUUUCGGRGRGGAGGAUGCCUAAGGCAGGACUGGUGACUGGGGUGAAGUCGUAACAAGGUAGCCGUACCGGAAGGUGUGGCUGGAUCACCUCCUU
This 1464-nucleotide ribosomal RNA is filed under the name Nostoc commune SAG 1453-3. RNAcentral describes it as "bacterial SSU rRNA". It matches the Rfam family "Bacterial small subunit ribosomal RNA". The record is from RNAcentral. Lineage: Bacteria; Bacillati; Cyanobacteriota; Cyanophyceae; Nostocales; Nostocaceae.